RNAcentral lists this ribosomal RNA (692 nucleotides) under uncultured bacterium. RNAcentral describes it as "bacterial SSU rRNA". It matches the Rfam family "Bacterial small subunit ribosomal RNA", at positions 150 to 839 of the family's 1533-position model. The record is from RNAcentral.
GUGGAAACGCUGGCUAAUACCGCAUACAUCCUUUGGAAGAAAAAGGGGGAUCUUCGGACCUCUUGCUGUUUGAUGAGCCCCCGUUGGAUUAACUAGAUGGUGGGGUAAAGGCCUACCAUGGUGACGAUCCAUAGCUGGUCUGAGAGGACGAUCAGCCACAUUGGGACUGAUACACGGCCCACACUCCUACGGGAGGAAACAGUGGGGAAUAUUGCUCAAUGGGCGCAAGCCUGAUGCAUCCUUGCCCCGUGUGUGAAAAAGGCCCUAGGGUUGUAAAACACUUUCAAUGGGGAAGAAAGGAGUAGCGUUAAUACCGCUGUUCUGUGACAUUACCCAUAAAAAAAGUCCGGCUAACUCCGUGCCAGCAGCCGCGGUAAUACAGAGGGUGCGAGCGUUAGUCAGAAUUACUGGGCGUAAAGCGCGCGUAGGCGGUAACUUAAGCUGGAUGUGAAGUCCCCGGGCUCUGCCCGGGAACUGCGUUCCGAACUGGCUUGCUAUAGUACACAAGAGGGUGGUGGAAUUUCGAGUGUAACGGUGAAAUGCGUAGAGAUUGGAAGGAAAAUCAGUGGCGAAACGGCCACCUGGUCUGAUACUGACGCUGAGGUGCGAAAGCGUGAGGAGCACACAGGAUUAGAUACCCUGGUAGUCCACGCCGUAUACGAUGUCUACUAGCUGAUGGGUUCCUUGAGGAU